This 85-nucleotide transfer RNA is filed under the name Clostridiales bacterium. RNAcentral's name for it is "tRNA-Tyr". It matches the Rfam family "tRNA". From Rfam's summary of the family: Transfer RNA (tRNA) molecules are approximately 80 nucleotides in length. Their secondary structure includes four short double-helical elements and three loops (D, anti-codon, and T loops). The record is from RNAcentral. Lineage: Bacteria; Bacillati; Bacillota; Clostridia; Eubacteriales.
GGAGGAGUACCCAAGUGGCCAAAGGGGACAGACUGUAAAUCUGCUGGCUUUGCCUUCGAUGGUUCGAAUCCGUCCUCCUCCACCA